RNAcentral lists this ribosomal RNA (240 nucleotides) under uncultured bacterium. Its description in RNAcentral is "partial 16S ribosomal RNA". It matches the Rfam family "Bacterial small subunit ribosomal RNA", at positions 96 to 334 of the family's 1533-position model. The record is from RNAcentral.
UGGCGAACGGGUGAGUAACGCGUGAGGAACCUGCCUCAAAGAGGGGGACAACAGUUGGAAACGACUGCUAAUACCGCAUAAGCCCACGACCCGGCAUCGGGAAGAGGGAAAAGGAGCAAUCCGCUUUGAGAUGGCCUCGCGUCCGAUUAGCUAGUUGGUGAGGUAACGGCCCACCAAGGCGACGAUCGGUAGCCGGACUGAGAGGUUGAAUGGCCACAUUGGGACUGAGACACGGCCCAG